This 406-nucleotide ribosomal RNA is filed under the name uncultured bacterium. RNAcentral's name for it is "partial 16S ribosomal RNA". It matches the Rfam family "Bacterial small subunit ribosomal RNA", at positions 29 to 526 of the family's 1533-position model. The record is from RNAcentral.
AUUGAACGCUGGCGGCAGGCCUAACACAUGCAAGUCGAACGAGUGGCGGACGGGUGAGUAAUGUCUGGGAAACUGCCUGAUGGAGGGGGAUAACUACUGGAAACGGUAGCUAAGACCGCAUACCAUCAGAUGUGCCCAGAUGGGACUUGCUAGGUGGUGGGGUAACGGCUCACCAAGGCGACGAGCGCUAGCUGGUCUGAGAGGAUGAACAGACACACUGGAGCUUAGACGCGGUGCAGAGUCCUAGGGGAGGGAGCAGUGGGGAAUAGUGCACAGUGGGCGCAAGCCUGAUGCAGCCCUGCCGCGUGUAUGAAGAAGGCCUUGGGAUUGUAAAGUACUUUCAGCGGGGAGGCGUUGCCCGCAGAGGAAGCACCGGCUAACUCCGGACCAGCAGCCGCGGUAAUAC